RNAcentral lists this ribosomal RNA (446 nucleotides) under uncultured bacterium. RNAcentral describes it as "bacterial SSU rRNA". It matches the Rfam family "Bacterial small subunit ribosomal RNA", at positions 329 to 792 of the family's 1533-position model. The record is from RNAcentral.
CUCCAGACUCCUACGGGAGGCAGCAGUGGGGAAUAUUGCACAAUGGGGGAAACCCUGAUGCAGCGACGCCGCGUGAGUGAAGAAGUAUUUCGGUAUGUAAAGCUCUAUCAGCAGGGAAGAAAAUGACGGUACCUGAUUAAGAAGCCCCGGCUAACUACGUGCCAGCAGCCGCGGUAAUACGUAGGGGGCAAGCGUUAUCCGGAUUUACUGGGUGUAAAGGGAGCGUAGACGGCUGUGCAAGCCAGAUGUGAAAGCCCGGGGCUCAACCCCGGGACUGCAUUUGGAACUGUGUGGCUGGAGUGUCGGAGAGGCAGGCGGAAUUCCUAGUGUAGCGGUGAAAUGCGUAGAUAUUAGGAGGAACACCAGUGGCGAAGGCGGCCUGCUGGACGAUGACUGACGUUGAGGCUCGAAAGCGUGGGGAGCAAACAGGAUUAGAUCCCCGAGUA